Molecule: ribosomal RNA, 427 nt
Filed under: uncultured bacterium
Lineage: Bacteria
Description: partial 16S ribosomal RNA
Rfam family: Bacterial small subunit ribosomal RNA
Source: RNAcentral
UGGGGAAUAUUGCACAAUGGGCGCAAGCCUGAUGCAGCCAUGCCGCGUGUAUGAAGAAGGCCUUCGGGUUGUAAAGUACUUUCAGCGGGGAGGAAGGCGAUAAGGUUAAUAACCUUGUCGAUUGACGUUACCCGCAGAAGAAGCACCGGCUAACUCCGUGCCAGCAGCCGCGGUAAUACGGAGGGUGCAAGCGUUAAUCGGAAUUACUGGGCGUAAAGCGCACGCAGGCGGUCUGUCAAGUCGGAUGUGAAAUCCCCGGGCUCAACCUGGGAACUGCAUUCGAAACUGGCAGGCUAGAGUCUUGUAGAGGGGGGUAGAAUUCCAGGUGUAGCGGUGAAAUGCGUAUAGAUCUGGAGGAAUACCGGUGGCGAAGGCGGCCCCCUGGACAAAGACUGACGCUCAGGUGCGAAAGCGUGGGGAGCAAACA